AGUAACAUCCGGAAACGGGUGCUAAUACCGCUAUAGGUUUUCUUGAUCGCAUGAUUGAGAAAGGAAAGACGGGCCUUUGUGCGUGUCGCUUAUGGAUGGACCCGCGGCGUAUUAGUUAGUUGGUGAGGUAAUGGCUCACCAAGACGAUGAUACGUAGCCGACCUGAGAGGGUGAUCGGCCACAUUGGGACUGAGACACGGCCCAAACUCCUACGGGAGGCAGCAGUAGGGAAUCUUCCGCAAUGGACGAAAGUCUGACGGAGCAACGCCGCGUGAGUGAAGAAGGGUUUUUUCCGGAUCGUAAAACUCUGUUGUCAGAGAAGAACAAGUUGGAGAGUAACUGCUCCAGCCUUGACGGUAUCUGACCAGAAAGCCACGGCUAACUACGUGCCAGCCGCUGC
RNAcentral lists this ribosomal RNA (400 nucleotides) under uncultured bacterium. RNAcentral describes it as "bacterial SSU rRNA". It matches the Rfam family "Bacterial small subunit ribosomal RNA", at positions 142 to 518 of the family's 1533-position model. The record is from RNAcentral.